UUGCUUUGGCAGCACAUACACGAAAAGUGGAAUAAUGAUACAGAGAAGAUUAGCAUGGCCCCUAAGCAAAGAUGACACAGAAAUUCAUAAAGCGUUCAUUUUUGUU
Small nuclear RNA from Sorex fumeus (smoky shrew), 106 nucleotides. Lineage: Eukaryota; Metazoa; Chordata; Mammalia; Eulipotyphla; Soricidae. The record is from RefSeq and is a predicted model, not a curated record.